UAAGAAGAAAAAGAUAAACAUUUGCAGAAAGAGAGAGAGAUCUUCUUAUUCAUUCGCACUAUUCUUCCAUCUCACACUCUAUCUAGUCUCUAUGAAUGUGUAGGUAAGUUAUUUGUAGUUAAAGUGAACAUGAUGAUAAACUUUAGAUUUGUUUGAAUUGAAAACUUUUUCUUUUUAUCUAUUUUUGAAAAAAAGAAAGAAGAGAAGCUAAUAUGUAGCGUGAUGAACAAUUCAAUCUCUGUUUCAAAUUUUGUUGUUGAUUUGUUUACUUUAUUUUUUUUAUAAUUGCAGUUCAAUUGAAGUGAAUGCUGAUUUUAUUAUCUCUUUGACUAGGAUCUGGUUGUAUAAUUCUUCUUCUUUGAUCUUUGCUGCGAGAGCAUUUCAAUUUGACUUUAAUUUGAAGAAAAAAGAUCUGAUCUGUGCUACAUCUGGUUUGCUGGAUUAAUAUUUAACUUAGUCCAUCUUUGAACUUGGGGUUUCUUUAAUUAUGUAUGUAAUGUGAUGAAGCAGAAGAAGAAGUAAAAGAGGAUUUUGG
Molecule: long non-coding RNA, 535 nt
Filed under: Aquilegia coerulea
Lineage: Eukaryota; Viridiplantae; Streptophyta; Magnoliopsida; Ranunculales; Ranunculaceae
Description: long non-coding RNA (ACOE_LNC000025)
Source: RNAcentral